Molecule: long non-coding RNA, 135 nt
Organism: Telopea speciosissima
Lineage: Eukaryota; Viridiplantae; Streptophyta; Magnoliopsida; Proteales; Proteaceae
Exons: 3
Source: RefSeq, a predicted model, not a curated record
UUAGGAGGAGUGAAUGCUGGUAGGUUCUCUGGUUCUUUAGUUUUUGGUGUCAAGAAUGGAAGAAGGGUGUUGAAGUCUUAAACAGUUUAAUUUUAUCAAAUACAAUCUGCAAAUGAUGAAGGUCUAUUCUUGUGU